AGGGCCUUCUGCCAAGGGCCCGCUUUGAUCUCCCUUAAAGGACAGCAUUAUCUGACCAGAGGUAAAUUGUAACCACUGAAAGUCCGCUGUUUCGAUUCUGGGCAAGAUGCUAUGGCAGAACAGGGACCAUGAUGAACUACUUAGAAAAAUACAUAAGGCCAUAAAUAAUGUGUGAUUAUUUGAUGAAUGCCUGUCUCUCCCACUGGGACCAUCAGCUUAGAAAAGAAAUGAUGUGGAUGUGCUCACCAAGUUAUUUGCAGAGCUUAGCAGAGUGGGAUAGAAGAGACCCAUGCAGGAGACCUCUCCAGGUACACAUAUUUCCUGCUACUGAAUGGCUUAGACUGGGAUUUGCAAGGAACUACGAAGUCCAAGACCUUUGCCUUUCUUUUAGAAGAAGGCACCAGCUGGUUCUCCAAUGUUGAAGGUCUUCUCCAGAGAUGGGCAUGCAGAAGGAGUGAAAAAACAAGAAGGAAGACAAGGAAGACAUUGUUUUGGCUGCUGACAUUUCCUGAAAGAUCUGAGGCGUCCCCUUCACUUCGGGCAUGGGACCCAGACGGCUGAGUGAUGGACCUUAAGGUGUGGGGAGAUUACAACUUGCUCAAGGUCUCAUAGCUAGAAGAUGUCAGAGUGAUAACUCAAACCAUGUCACAUGACUCUAAGCCCAAAGCAGCCUCUAGAAGGUUGUUUGAUCUUCUGAUGGAAGCACAAAUCACCAUUCCAACAUGAAAGAUGGAGAAACUUAAGUCUAGAGAGAUUUAAAGGACUUGUCAAAGGCAAUGAAACAAGUGGAACUCUGAAAGCCACAUGUUGAGAUGGCCCCAUUACAGGAUGGAGAGCACCUGAACCCCCAAGUUAUGGACUAGAAGAAGACAGUUGCCCUGGAAAAUCAUCUGACCCACAUUGGACUUUAUGUGAGGGGGAAAUAAACCUUUAUUAUGUUAAGCUACACAA
RNAcentral lists this long non-coding RNA (951 nucleotides) under Homo sapiens (human). RNAcentral describes it as "long intergenic non-protein coding RNA 511". Lineage: Eukaryota; Metazoa; Chordata; Mammalia; Primates; Hominidae. The record is from RNAcentral.